This 253-nucleotide ribosomal RNA is filed under the name uncultured bacterium. RNAcentral's name for it is "partial 16S ribosomal RNA". It matches the Rfam family "Bacterial small subunit ribosomal RNA", at positions 524 to 776 of the family's 1533-position model. The record is from RNAcentral.
UACAGAGACUGCAAGCGUUAUUCGGACUCACUGGGCGUAAAGGGUGCGCAGGCGGUCGGGUGUGUCAGAUGUGAAAUCCCGAGGCUCAACCUCGGAACUGCGUCUGAAACUACUCGACUAGAGUACUGGAGAGGGUAACAGAAUUCACGGUGUAGCAGUGAAAUGCGUAGAUAUCGUGAGGAACACCAGAGGCGAAGGCGGUUACCUGGACAGUUACUGACGCUCAGGCACGAAAGCAUGGGGAGCAAAAGGG